CGGGGCGGAGCUACAAUGCAGUCGAACGGAAACAUGUCUAGCUUGCUAGAUGAUGUCGAGUGGCGGACGGGUGAGUAAUACUUAGGAACAUGCCCUUGGGUGGGGGAUAACUAUUGGAAACGAUAGCUAAUACCGCAUAACGUCUACGGACCAAAGGGGGGAGCUUGCUCCUCUCACCCAAAGAGUGGCCUAAGCGAGAUUAGCUUGUUGGUGAGGUAAAGGCUCACCAAGGCGACGAUCUCUAGCUGUUCUGAGAGGAAGAUCAGCCACGCUGGGACUGAGACACGGCCCAGACUCCUACGGGAGGCAGCAGUGGGGAAUAUUGCACAAUGGAGGAAACUCUGAUGCAGCCAUGCCGCGUGUGUGAAGAAGGCCUUCGGGUUGUAAAGCACUUUCAGUUGUGAGGAAAGCUUGGUGGUUAAUACCCAUCAGGUAUGACGUUAGCAACAGAAGAAGGACCGGCUAACUCCGUGCCAGCAGCCGCGGUAAC
This 490-nucleotide ribosomal RNA is filed under the name uncultured Glaciecola sp. RNAcentral's name for it is "bacterial SSU rRNA". It matches the Rfam family "Bacterial small subunit ribosomal RNA", at positions 38 to 524 of the family's 1533-position model. Lineage: Bacteria; Pseudomonadati; Pseudomonadota; Gammaproteobacteria; Alteromonadales; Alteromonadaceae. The record is from RNAcentral.